This 383-nucleotide ribosomal RNA is filed under the name uncultured bacterium. Its description in RNAcentral is "bacterial SSU rRNA". It matches the Rfam family "Bacterial small subunit ribosomal RNA", at positions 29 to 416 of the family's 1533-position model. The record is from RNAcentral.
AUUGAACGCUGGCGGCAUGCUUUACACAUGCAAGUCGAACGGUAACAGGCCUUCGGGUGCUGACGAGUGGCGAACGGGUGAGUAAUGCAUCGGAACGUGCCCAAUCGUGGGGGAUAACGUAGCGAAAGUUACGCUAAUACCGCAUAAGCCCUGAGGGGGAAAGCAGGGGAUCGCAAGACCUUGCGCGAAUGGAGCGGCCGAUGUCAGAUUAGCUAGUUGGUGGGGUAAAGGCCUACCAAGGCGACGAUCUGUAGCGGGUCUGAGAGGAUGAUCCGCCACACUGGGACUGAGACACGGCCCAGACUCCUACGGGAGGCAGCAGUGGGGAUUUUGGACAAUGGGCGCAAGCCUGAUCCAGCCAUGCCGCGUGCGGGACGAAGGCC